Molecule: ribosomal RNA, 1485 nt
Filed under: uncultured Mycobacterium sp.
Lineage: Bacteria; Bacillati; Actinomycetota; Actinomycetes; Mycobacteriales; Mycobacteriaceae
Description: 16S ribosomal RNA
Rfam family: Bacterial small subunit ribosomal RNA
Source: RNAcentral
GAGUUUGAUCCUGGCUCAGGACGAACGCUGGCGGCGUGCUUAACACAUGCAAGUCGAACGGAAAGGCCCUGCUUUUGUGGGGUGCUCGAGUGGCGAACGGGUGAGUAACACGUGAGUAACCUGCCCUUGACUUUGGGAUAACUUCAGGAAACUGGGGCUAAUACCGGAUAGGAGCUCCUGCUGCAUGGUGGGGGUUGGAAAGUUUCGGCGGUUGGGGAUGGACUCGCGGCUUAUCAGCUUGUUGGUGGGGUAGUGGCUUACCAAGGCUUUGACGGGUAGCCGGCCUGAGAGGGUGACCGGCCACAUUGGGACUGAGAUACGGCCCAGACUCCUACGGGAGGCAGCAGUGGGGAAUAUUGCACAAUGGGCGGAAGCCUGAUGCAGCAACGCCGCGUGCGGGAUGACGGCCUUCGGGUUGUAAACCGCUUUCGCCUGUGACGAAGCGUGAGUGACGGUAAUGGGUAAAGAAGCACCGGCUAACUACGUGCCAGCAGCCGCGGUGAUACGUAGGGUGCGAGCGUUGUCCGGAUUUAUUGGGCGUAAAGGGCUCGUAGGUGGUUGAUCGCGUCGGAAGUGUAAUCUUGGGGCUUAACCCUGAGCGUGCUUUCGAUACGGGUUGACUUGAGGAAGGUAGGGGAGAAUGGAAUUCCUGGUGGAGCGGUGGAAUGCGCAGAUAUCAGGAGGAACACCAGUGGCGAAGGCGGUUCUCUGGGCCUUUCCUGACGCUGAGGAGCGAAAGCGUGGGGAGCGAACAGGCUUAGAUACCCUGGUAGUCCACGCUGUAAACGGUGGGUACUAGGUGUGGGGUCCAUUCCACGGGUUCCGUGCCGUAGCUAACGCUUUAAGUACCCCGCCUGGGGAGUACGGCCGCAAGGCUAAAACUCAAAGGAAUUGACGGGGCCCCGCACAAGCGGCGGAGCAUGCGGAUUAAUUCGAUGCAACGCGUAGAACCUUACCUGGGUUUGACAUGGAUCGGGAGUGCUCAGAGAUGGGUGUGCCUCUUUUGGGGUCGGUUCACAGGUGGUGCAUGGCUGUCGUCAGCUCGUGUCGUGAGAUGUUGGGUUAAGUCCCGCAACGAGCGCAACCCUUGUUCACUGUUGCCAGCACGUUAUGGUGGGGACUCAGUGGAGACCGCCGGGGUCAACUCGGAGGAAGGUGGGGAUGACGUCAAGUCAUCAUGCCCCUUAUGUCCAGGGCUUCACGCAUGCUACAAUGGCUGGUACAGAGAGUGGCGAGCCUGUGAGGGUGAGCGAAUCUCGGAAAGCCGGUCUCAGUUCGGAUUGGGGUCUGCAACUCGACCUCAUGAAGUCGGAGUCGCUAGUAAUCGCAGAUCAGCAACGCUGCGGUGAAUACGUUCCCGGGGCUUGUACACACCGCCCGUCAAGUCAUGAAAGUUGGUAACACCCGAAGCCGGUGGCCUAACCGUUGUGGGGGAGCCGUCGAAGGUGGGACUGGUGAUUAGGACUAAGUCGUAACAAGGUAACC